Platichthys flesus (European flounder) is the source of this 1769-nucleotide long non-coding RNA. RefSeq lists it as uncharacterized. The record is from RefSeq and is a predicted model, not a curated record. The transcript has 2 exons. Lineage: Eukaryota; Metazoa; Chordata; Actinopteri; Pleuronectiformes; Pleuronectidae.
UCCUCCAUCUUGUAUCUGCAGCUUUGACUUCUCUGACUCCUCCAGUUAGGUCUUGUGGGCAUCCUGAUGCUGAUUUGAACCGUGGAUGUUUUCCGUCUCAUCACUGUGGAGGCGGUUAGUGGUGGAACUCCGUCCACUCGGCACUCGCAACGUUCUGGCCUCGUCUCACUGAUCUGGGUGCAGUGGAAAACACUCGAGCCAGAGGUUUUAUUGGAAUCUCGAUGGCGUGGCUCCAUUUCCUGAACGCUCCUGCGCAGACUCUUGAUCCAAAUGUGUGAGCUGGCAGUGCUUGUAGACAGUGGGAGGACACAUCUUUAUUUAUAGUCUAUAUUUUACACAUGUGCGAAUCCUCACAGCAGUUGGUUAAGGUGAGAGAAGACAAAACAAGACUCAUUACUAACCCAACCAUGACCUUUUACUAACAAGGUGUUGUUUCCUAAACCAAUAUCACACAUGUCCACCCACCAUACUCCUUCAUACUGAGGUACAGGAACAGAAAUAGAACCUUCCUGUAACCUUCAUUAAAAUUCCUUCAAACUUGUUGACCAAACAAGGUCAUAGUAUCCUCUUGAGCUGUGAGGCAACAGUGCUACCCACUGUACCACCAUGCCCCAUUGAUCUGCUGAUAUUUCCCUUGCUACCUCAUUGACGGUUCCAGGCAAAAGAACAAUGUUUGAAUUAACAGCAAAGAUCCCUGAGAAACCUCAUUAGCAUCCAUGCAAACGAUGCAGAAGCAAUGAGCUGUGAUAGCAUCUGUUUUCCUGGAUGUUGGCAUGUGUGCGUGUCUUGUUGUGGGUUUGCUGUGUGUUAAUCAGAGUGUUGACAAACCUACCAACUUAUGUUUGAAACCGUUGAAGACGAUAAGCUGUUGUAACACUAGUGAUGACCGCCACACUUUCUCCCCUAGCAGAGUCCAGACAUCAAUUAACUGGGGCUUUGCCAAAGUGCUGCUAACUUCUCAGAAGUUUGUUUACACAAGAAUAAAGCCCAGCAAUUGCAUUUGGCGUCUUUGCUCUGUUGCCUCAAUUCGCCGCAGCGUAAACUUACAGCAACUAAUCCUGCAAAGACGCAGCAAUGGCUGGAAAUGAUCACUUCAUCUGGAGCCAGUCUACAGGUGGAAAUAUUCACACAGCACUGAGACGGCUUCAAAAGGAGGAGGAGGAGGAAGAAGUAGAGGGUAUUUCUGCAAAACUGUAAAUGUUUGCAAGUGUUUCAGACAGAGGAGCAUGUCAUGUAGGGGAGAGCGGGUUAAUGUGAGACAUUUUUUUUUAAAUUUGCUCCCCUCUAGGCGACCUUAAAUUAUAUAUCAGUCAAAUUUACACAUUUCCCAUUGAUUCAGGAGUUUUUCUAGCAAUGCAAAUGAUCAGAAUGUCUUCAGGACAAAGGGCAGUGAAAAUAUGAUUGUUUUAAAAAAAGUGGUCUUGUGUCUCACUUUACCCCAGCUACGGGGUAAAGUGAAAACUUACUUUUUCCACUUUAAAACUACCAUAACAACAAAUGUUGUACUAGUUAAAAUCCUGACAGCUAGAUUGACAACCACACAUUCCAAAACUAAUAUCGGACUAGUAACAGAAUCAUGGGGAUUGUUUGGCCCCAGGUUGUCUUCCUGGUGUAUAGUUUCAUGGCAUGAUGGCUUUUCUACUAUGUUUAUGACAUUAAAAAUAAAACAUAUAUAAUGUAAUAUCACCUCGGCGAUAGCUCUGCAGACUCAUUACGAUUAACAUUAGACUUAAUAGCGCCUCUAAAAAAAAAAAAAAAAAAAAGAAAAA